CCUGGCAGCUUGCUGCCGGGGUGAGAGUGGCGAACGGGUGAGUAAUGCGUGACCGACCUGCCCCAUGCACCGGAAUAGCUCCUGGAAACGGGUGGUAAUGCCGGAUGUUCCACAUGAGCGCAUGCGAGUGUGGGAAAGGCUUUUGCGGCAUGGGAUGGGGUCGCGUCCUAUCAGCUUGUUGGUGGGGUAACGGCCUACCAAGGCGUUGACGGGUAGCCGGCCUGAGAGGGCGACCGGCCACAUUGGGACUGAGAUACGGCCCAGACUCCUACGGGAGGCAGCAGUGGGGAAUAUUGCACAAUGGGCGCAAGCCUGAUGCAGCGACGCCGCGUGCGGGAUGGAGGCCUUCGGGUUGUAAACCGCUUUUGUUCAAGGGCAAGGCACGGUUUCGGCCGUGUUGAGUGGAUUGUUCGAAUAAGCACCGGCUAACUACGUGCCAGCAGCCGCGGUAAUACGUAGGGUGCAAGCGUUAUCCGGAUUUAUUGGGCGUAAAGGGCUCGUAGGCGGUUCGUCGCGUCCGGUGUGAAAGUCCAUCGCUUAACGGUGGAUCCGCGCCGGGUACGGGCGGGCUUGAGUGCGGUAGGGGAGACUGGAAUUCCCGGUGUAACGGUGGAAUGUGUAGAUAUCGGGAAGAACACCAAUGGCGAAGGCAGGUCUCUGGGCCGUUACUGACGCUGAGGAGCGAAAGCGUGGGGAGCGAACAGGAUUAGAUACCCUGGUAGUCCACGCCGUAAACGGUGGAUGCUGGAUGUGGGGCCCUUUUUCCGGGUCCUGUGUCGGAGCUAACGCGUUAAGCAUCCCGCCUGGGGAGUAC
Molecule: ribosomal RNA, 814 nt
Filed under: Bifidobacterium pseudolongum subsp. globosum
Lineage: Bacteria; Bacillati; Actinomycetota; Actinomycetes; Bifidobacteriales; Bifidobacteriaceae
Description: bacterial SSU rRNA
Rfam family: Bacterial small subunit ribosomal RNA
Source: RNAcentral